GAUGAACGCUGGCGGCGCGCCUAACACAUGCAAGUCGAACGGCACCCCUCCUCGGAGGGCAGCGAGUGGCGAACGGCUGAGUAACACGUGGAGAACCUGCCCCCUCCCCCGGGAUAGCCGCCCGAAAGGACGGGUAAUACCGGAUACCCCGGGGUGCCGCAUGGCACCCCGGCUAAAGCCCCGACGGGAGGGGAUGGCUCCGCGGCCCAUCAGGUAGACGGCGGGGUGACGGCCCACCGUGCCGACAACGGGUAGCCGGGUUGAGAGACCGACCGGCCAGAUUGGGACUGAGACACGACCCAGACUCCUACGGGAGGCAGCAGUGGGGAAGCGUGCGCAAUGGGGGGAACCCUGACGCAGCGACGCCGCGUGCGGGACGGAGGCCUUCGGGGCGGAAACCGCUUUCAGCAGGGAAGAGUCAAGACUGUACCUGCAGAAGAAGCCCCGGCUAACUACGUG
This 459-nucleotide ribosomal RNA is filed under the name uncultured bacterium. RNAcentral describes it as "partial 16S ribosomal RNA". It matches the Rfam family "Bacterial small subunit ribosomal RNA", at positions 28 to 507 of the family's 1533-position model. The record is from RNAcentral.